This 1249-nucleotide long non-coding RNA is filed under the name Carassius auratus (goldfish). RNAcentral describes it as "lncRNA (ENSCARG00000057224.1)". The record is from RNAcentral. Lineage: Eukaryota; Metazoa; Chordata; Actinopteri; Cypriniformes; Cyprinidae.
CUCCAAUAUGCAGUUCAACUUCUUAAACCUCUGCCAUAAAAGAGAUUUACUCUUGCAUAACCUCAAUGUGGAAAAUUAUUAAACUCCAGAUUCUCCACCUCAAGACACUCAUCCAGAUAAUAGAGCAGCACUUUUAAACUCAUUGCCAUUAAUGAUAUAAACCUAUUAUUCAUUUACAUAUUUUAUUCAAGCAUUCUAAUUUGUUUGAUGUAGGAAAUUUUAAUCAAUACAAUUCUUAUAUAUGUAUAUAUGAUGUAUAUUUACUGUUCAUAUAAAAAUAAUUGCCGUAAAUUUAUUUAAAAAAUGUAUUACAUGUAUCUAACUGUGAUUUUAUUUAUUUUUCUUGUAGGUUAAAUGAUUGUGGCUUAACAGACAAAAGCUGUCCAGCUCUGGCUACAGUUCUUGGAUCAGAUACUAAUCUGAAAGAGCUGAACAUAAACAAUAAUUAUCUGCAGGACUCAGGAGUGAAGCUGCUCUGCAAUGGCAUGAAGAAUAUUAAUUGCAAAUUAGAGAUACUGAGUCUGAAGAACAACUGUAUCACAGAAGGAGGAUGUCAUGUUCUGGCUGCAGCUCUAAAUUCAAACCCUUCAAAUCUGACAGAGCUGGAUCUGAGUGAGAAUGAACUAGGAAACCCAGGAAUGAAGAUCAUCUUGACUUUGUUUAAAAAUGUACAGUGUAGACUGGAAAAGCUGAAGUAAGUAUUUUAAAAGUGUAACCCAUUAAUUACCCAGACUGCACUGACCCACCACAGUUUCCAGUGAGUUAGUACUUUUUCAAAGUUCUGGAACUUUCUGGGGCGUGACUUGGGUGCUAAACCUGCUGAUUGGUUGAGUUCAAGCAACAUUGUGAUUUCAACCACCAUUUAUUCGGAUCAUUUUCAAAAUAUUACUGUUGUGUCAUGAAAUGUAAUUUUAAAAGUAUUUCAGGCGAGAAUGUAGUUGUUUAAAAUUCAAAUCUGUGGUUUAUUUAUAAAGACAGUGACUAUUUAAAAAUGUGUUUUGCCGAUCUCGGACACGGUGAGCUCCACGCGAUCAGCACAAGCUCAGUGCUCAUGUAUCUGCCGAGAGCAGCCUCACCUCUGCUAGUCCUUUUGACAUUUGCCGCUGGCUCUGAUGUCUCUUUAGUGGUUAAACAUAAAAUAUAAUUUGUUUGGGGUAAAUCUAACAAGUAAUCUUUGGUCUGAUUUAAUUUAUGUUAAAAUGAAAUUAAAAAGAGGCAAUUGAUAGAUUAUAUUGUUUCAUUGUAAUGG